GCAGCAUGACCCUGGUAUGGUGAAGCAUUGUUGGUAAUCAUCUUUCACGGACACAUAUACACUGAUUAUCGCAUACAUGCAUACAUGAUUCACAAAGGUAAACAAUUGGUUGAGGACGAGUUGUCACAGGAAAAGUGGGAAGGACCGACGCCGUGACUGGAGAGUACCAUUGGAGGCGCGGUGGCUAAUUGAUCAGCUGGCAGGUAAUCAUGGUGAUGUCUAUUAGUAUACCUGAGCGUUUGGGCACUGGUUCUUUGGCUUUGCUUCUGAAGGCAGCAGAACGUUGGAGCUGCGAGGAGCGUGUCUGUGUUGGCAUCCCAUUGACGGAAGGUAACAGUGGUUGUGCCACUUAAGUUUGAGAUGCAUUUGGCUGUGUGCGUUUAGUCCUAUUGAUGUUGUAUACGCAACCUAAGUAAUUUGGGUCACUUCCUUCUAGUGGUGGCGUAUCCAUACCCCACGGGAAACCGGUUGGUAGAGAGACUUCCCUGAGCAUUGGCAUCGCGGAGAGAAAGCGUGCUUUGAGCGAGGGUCGGCAUUGCAGAGAGAAAAUUGACUACGUGUGAAGUUGCGACUACAACCACAUCCUACAAAAAAUGGGUGCUUGCUUCAAGACGUCAUAUGAACCGGUGUUUAAUUGUGGAGUGCGGAAACUUCGCGACCAGGUAAAUUAAUCAACCGUAAUGCUUUCCUGCUUCGUGAGGCGUUAAUAGAAAUGACCAUAAUAUCUGCCCUGUCUUACGCCUAUGUGUGGAUAUUGUUUCCACAGCCGAAGGUGGAGGUGCCAGUGGGACAAUCUUCUUGGCUGCAGCUCCAGCGUGCGCUGUGGUCACUGUUUCUCUCCCUGGAGAUUUGACUUGGACUGUGCGCGCCCAAUGCGCUUGAGCGUGCGGGUGCGCGUGUGACUGUGUGAGCGUCUGUGCACUGUGUGGUGCCUACACUCGGCGCAGGCCGCAACUCUGACAGCGUGUGAUUGUGUGUGUGUGGGUGCGUGUGUGUGUGGGGUAUUAGUGGGGUGGUCUAGGGAAAAGUGCAAUUUUACAUUCUUUGACUAAGUGGAUCGUUUUGUUCUUUUUUUCUUUCUUUUUCUUAUCUGGGGUUAGCUGUGAAGACAUCUGGGGACAGGUUGGCUUUGGGGGGGUCAGUCCGAUUGGGAAUAGGCAGACCGCUGGAUUGCUGUGCUUUGCUGUGAAAUCUAGUUAUAGUGGGGUGCGGUUAUUUGUUUUCUUUUGGGGUAUUUUGUUGAUUUGCAUGUUUGUUUAUUUUCUAUGCAUGGUGUGCUCUCAUCCUUGUGCCUAACCCAUUCUGACUGUACUAGCUGACCUGUCACUCAUCCCUCCUAUUUGUGACCUGAGAGGGGGUAGCACAGCAUAGUCCCAUACCUCUUUUGUUUUGUUUGUACCAGUCCUUAGGACCACAGUCGACUGGGCCCAGUGCUGUACCAUCUGAAUAGGCACAGCAUCAGAUUGCUGUGAGUUUGCAGUGCAAUACUUAUUCUUUGCUGUGCGAAGGGUUUGACUUAUUUUGUUUGCUGUUUGCUACAUUUUUGGGGUGGAUUUAUUUUGUUUGCAUGAGGGUGCGGUGUCAUUGCUGUGCCUAGGUCCGCUGAUUCCAUACUGGGCCUUGUCCAUAUUGUGGGCCCUAAUUUCUGUUUUAUUUAAUGUUCCUUUUAUCCACUUGGUGCAAAGUAUUUUAACUUUGGAAAUAAUAAUAAAAAACAAUCAGUGCACUUGCA
Engraulis encrasicolus (European anchovy) is the source of this 1732-nucleotide long non-coding RNA. RefSeq lists it as uncharacterized. The record is from RefSeq and is a predicted model, not a curated record. NCBI's taxonomy places the organism in Eukaryota, Metazoa, Chordata, Actinopteri, Clupeiformes, Engraulidae. The transcript has 2 exons.